This 285-nucleotide long non-coding RNA is filed under the name Mytilus galloprovincialis (Mediterranean mussel). Lineage: Eukaryota; Metazoa; Mollusca; Bivalvia; Mytilida; Mytilidae. The record is from RNAcentral.
UUUUUUAUUAGUGAAUACUUCGUUAUAUUGUCUACUGGUCUUGUGGUAUUAUGUAAAAAUGUGUCAAAGUUGGAAGAGGACACAGAUUUAGGUGUAGAAAAAAGUGUCGUCCAAACUCUGACUUUCAUGAAAGUUUACCUCUUCGAGCGGUUCAUUUGUCUCUAAAGGUUUAUCUGUCUCUAAAGAUUCAUCUGUGUCCAUUGACUUACUGCUACUAUUAUCGUGUGUGCUAUCGAAUACAUUAGAGCUACUUUCCUCAGACCCUUCAUUAGUUUUAGCACCAAU